RNAcentral lists this ribosomal RNA (444 nucleotides) under uncultured bacterium. RNAcentral describes it as "bacterial SSU rRNA". It matches the Rfam family "Bacterial small subunit ribosomal RNA", at positions 331 to 792 of the family's 1533-position model. The record is from RNAcentral.
CCAGACUCCUACGGGAGGCAGCAGUGGGGGAUAUUGCACAAUGGGGGAAACCCUGAUGCAGCGACGCCGCGUGAGUGAAGAAGUAUUUCGGUAUGUAAAGCUCUAUCAGCAGGGAAGAAAAUGACAGUACCUGACCAAGAAGCCCCGGCUAACUACGUGCCAGCAGCCGCGGUAAUACGUAGGGGGCAAGCGUUAUCCGGAUUUACUGGGUGUAAAGGGAGCGUAGACGGUUAUGUAAGUCUGGAGUGAAAGCCCGGGGCCCAACCCCGGGACUGCUUUGGAAACUGUGUAACUGGAGUGCAGGAGGGGCAGGCGGAAUUCCUGGUGUAGCGGUGAAAUGCGUAGAUAUCAGGAGGAACACCGGCGGCGAAGGCGGCCUGCUGGACUGAAACUGACGUUGAGGCUCGAAAGCGUGGGGAGCAAACAGGAUUAGAUACCCCGGUA